AUUGAACGCUGGCGGCAGGCCUAACACAUGCAAGUCGAACGGUAACACGCAGAUGCUUGCUUCUUUUCUGACGACUGGCGGACGGGUGAGACAUGUGUGAGAAACUGUCUGAUGGGGGGGGAUAACUACUAGCAACGGUAGCUACUACCGCAUAACGUCGCCAGCCCAGAGAGGGGUACCUUCUGGCCUCUUGUCAUCGGAUGUUCCCAGCUGGGAUGCGCUAGUAGGUGGGGUAACGUUUCACCUGGGCGACGAUCCGUAGAUGGUGUGAGAGGAUGAGCAGCGACACUGGAACUGGGACACGGUCAAGAGUCCUACGGGAGGCAGCAGUGGGGAAUAUUGGACAGUGGGCGGAAGCCUGAUGCAGCGAUGCCGCGUGUAUGAAGAAGGCCUUCGGGUUGUAAAGUACGUUCAGGGGGGAGGAAGGGAGUAAAGUUAAUACCUUGGCUCAUUGACGUUACCGGGAAAAGAAGCACCGGCUAACUCCGUG
RNAcentral lists this ribosomal RNA (490 nucleotides) under uncultured bacterium. Its description in RNAcentral is "partial 16S ribosomal RNA". It matches the Rfam family "Bacterial small subunit ribosomal RNA", at positions 30 to 507 of the family's 1533-position model. The record is from RNAcentral.